UCUCCUCCUUGUUGCAGCUCUCCCUUCUGCGACCUCGCUGAUAUCCUUCCGACUGUGAAUCUUGCAACAGAAACUAUCCCCAGUGGAGAAUAGGGUGGUGGAGUCAAAACACAUCAAAUUGCAGCUCAGAUGUGACACCAUAGGCUUUCAGUGCAUUUUUGCUUCUUUUAUAGAGCUUUUGCUCUGGGAUUUUGGAGCUGUGAUCUUCCUGAUGAUGUCUUUACCAUCUAACCUGGCUUUGUCUGUGGGUGGACUUCUCUGGGUACAAGCUUAAUUAGCACUUCUCCUUGCCCUGACUUUUAUUGCUCUGGGUCAGAAGGAUGUGGUGGAUGCCAUUUGCCAGCAGUAGUGAUGACUUCCUUGGGCUCAUAGGACUGCGCACAGAACGCACUUCUAUUUCAACAUCACUAAGGUAGGAGCCAAGAAUGGGCUGUUUUUUCUUAUUCUGUUUAUUCAACUGUCUUUUGUUUCUGAAGACCAA
RNAcentral lists this long non-coding RNA (481 nucleotides) under Numida meleagris (helmeted guineafowl). Its description in RNAcentral is "lncRNA (ENSNMEG00000019102.1)". Lineage: Eukaryota; Metazoa; Chordata; Aves; Galliformes; Numididae. The record is from RNAcentral.